RNAcentral lists this ribosomal RNA (277 nucleotides) under uncultured bacterium. Its description in RNAcentral is "partial 16S ribosomal RNA". It matches the Rfam family "Bacterial small subunit ribosomal RNA", at positions 28 to 297 of the family's 1533-position model. The record is from RNAcentral.
GACGAACGCUGGCGGCGUGCUUAACACAUGCAAGUCGAGCGAGAUCCAUCCGGUGGCAACACCGGGGAAGAUCUAGCGGCGAACGGGUGAGUAACACGUGAGCAACCUGCCCCGAAGACUGGGAUAACACCGGGAAACCGGUGCUAAUACCGGAUGUCCUCCUCUGGUCGCAUGGCCUAAGGAGGAAACGAGCUUUGCUUCGGGAGGGGCUCGCGGGCUAUCAGCUUGUUGGUGGGGUAACGGCUCACCAAGGCGACGACGGCUAGCUGGUCUGAGA